AGAGUUUGAUCCUGGCUCAGGAUGAACGCUGGCGGUAUGCCUUAUACAUGCAAGUCGUACGAGAGUUUUUAACUCUAGUGGCGGACGGGUGAGUAACACGUAAGAAUUUGCCUUUAGGAGGGGGACAACAACUGGAAACGGUUGCUAAUACCCCAUAUGCUUUCGAGUGAAAUGGAUUUCCGCCUAAAGAGAAGCUUGCGGCUGAUUAGCUUGUUGGUAGGGUAAUGGCCUACCAAGGCGACGAUCAGUAUCUGGUUUGAGAGGACGAUCAGACACACUGGAACUGAGACACGGUCCAGACUCCUACGGGAGGCAGCAGUAGGGAAUUUUCCGCAAUGGGCGAAAGCCUGACGGAGCAAUACCGCGUGAGGGAUGACUGCCUAUGGGUUGUAAACCUCUUUUUUCAGGGAGGAAUAAAUGACGUGUACCUGAAGAAUAAGCAUCGGCUAACUCCGUGCCAGCAGCCGCGGUAAGACGGAGGAUGCAAGUGUUAUCCGGAAUCACUGGGCGUAAAGCGUCUGUAGGUGGCUCGACAAGUCAACUGUUAAAUCUUGAAGCUCAACUUCGAAAUCGCAGUCGAAACUAUCGAACUAGAGUAUAGUAGAGGUAAAGGGAAUUUCCAGUGGAGCGGUGAAAUGCGUAGAGAUUGGAAAGAACACCGAUGGCGAAGGCACUUUACUGGGCUAUUACUGACACUCAGAGACGAAAGCUAGGGUAGCAAAUGGGAUUAAAUACCCCAGUAGUCCUAGCCGUAAACAAUGGAUACUAGGUGUUGAACAGAUCGACCUGUGCAGUACCAAAGCUAACGCGUUAAGUAUCCCGCCUGGGAAGUAUGCACGCA
Molecule: ribosomal RNA, 841 nt
Filed under: uncultured bacterium
Lineage: Bacteria
Description: bacterial SSU rRNA
Rfam family: Bacterial small subunit ribosomal RNA
Source: RNAcentral